AUUAAAGCAUUCCGCUUACAUUGGAAAGAUCAUUUUUAUUAUAGUGUGGCUUAA
Molecule: transfer RNA, 54 nt
Filed under: Caridina sp. FB-23
Lineage: Eukaryota; Metazoa; Arthropoda; Malacostraca; Decapoda; Atyidae
Description: tRNA-Val
Source: RNAcentral